Molecule: ribosomal RNA, 490 nt
Filed under: uncultured bacterium
Lineage: Bacteria
Description: partial 16S ribosomal RNA
Rfam family: Bacterial small subunit ribosomal RNA
Source: RNAcentral
AUUGAACGCUGGCGGCAGGCCUAACACAUGCAAGUCGAACGGUAACAGGAAGAAGCUUGCUUCUUUGCUGACGAGUGGCGGACGGGUGAGUAAUGUCUGGGAAACUGCCUGAUGGAGGUGGAUAACUACUGGAAACGGUAGCUAAUACCGCAUAACGUCGCAAGACCAAAGAGGGGGACCUUCGGGCCUCUUGCCAUCGGAUGUGCCCAGAUGGGAUUAGCUUGUUGGUGGGGUAACGGCUCACCAAGGCGACGAUCCCUAGCUGGUCUGAGAGGAUGACCAGCCACACUGGAACUGAGACACGGUCCAGACUCCUACGGGAGGCAGCAGUGGGGAAUAUUGCACAAUGGGCGCAAGCCUGAUGCAGCCAUGCCGCGUGUAUGAAGAAGGCCUUCGGGUUGUAAAGUACUUUCAGCGGGGAGGAAGGGAGUAAAGUUAAUACCUUUGCUCAUUGACGUUACCCGCAGAAGAAGCACCGGCUAACUCCGUG